Long non-coding RNA from Anas platyrhynchos (mallard), 1544 nucleotides. RefSeq lists it as uncharacterized. Lineage: Eukaryota; Metazoa; Chordata; Aves; Anseriformes; Anatidae. The record is from RefSeq and is a predicted model, not a curated record.
CCGCCCCUUAUAUAGCCUCCUGCGCCCCGCCCCCUCGCGGCGCGAAUCACUCCGCCGCGCACUAUUUCGCCGCUGUUCCGCCGGGCGGGCGCAGGGGAGCGAGGCCCGGCUCCGCGGAGGGAUCAGCGCUUCGAGAGAGCAUACUCCGUGUUGAAUUCCGUCAGCUCCUGUGCCGUCAUAGUCAAAACGUCCGGCGAUCCAAGGGCAGAGCUGAGGACAAGAUGAGGCUUUGUUUGCAGGACUCGCUGGCUGCCAUUUGGUUCAAUCCGCUUACAAAAUCCUUCGUUUCUGUGCAUCCAAAGAAAAACGCUGCCUACCCAGCUGACACGACACCCAGUGCACACCAGUGGGAAGGCAGCGGAGACCCAGCAACAGCUUCGUGAUUGGUGUGGGGGAAACCGGCCUGACACAGGGAGCUCCUACAGGAGGGGAAUGCUCCAGGGAUCUUCCCAGCCUCUCCUGCCUUGCAUUUAUAUUAAAACACAGCCUUGAAAUAAUACUCAUUUAAAAAAAAAAAAAAGGCAGCUCAGCCCCCCAGGUGGUUUAUCUGCAAAUAAAUAAAUCCACAAGUCUUUCGAUUUUUGCUCAGAAUGAGGUUGCUCACUGGUUUACAAUGUAUGCAUGUAUACAAUGUAAUUGUGGUUUACAAUGUAUGCAUGUAUAUAAACUAAAUAUUUGAAUAGACUUUUGGCUUUAAUAGGUCUUUCAUCUGAAAUUGAAAAACAAUGCUAAGCUUAUUCUUUUGUUAUGGGGUGUCUCUGGACUAGUCUACAAAUAGUUGAAAAGCCACAUGGCACUCUUUCAUGAGAAGAUAGUUUCAUAACAGCCACAAAUUAAGAUGUUACAGUGCUGAUCUUUAUCUAACGUGGCUAGGCAGCCAAGCACUGAGCGCUGUGGGUGAAUUUCAUAGAAUCAUAGAAUCACUCCGGUUGGAAAAACCCUCUAAGAUCAUCUAGUCCAACCUUUUACUUUGUACCUGAAUUAUGAACCUGACAACCAAAUUGUGGAGCAGCACAGUCCAAAAGCUUCAGAUUUGUGUUGUGUUCAGACUGCAAGGCAGAUGUUAGGCCCUAAUGCAACCCAGUCCUUAAAUAUGUCUUAAAUAUGCAGCUCACAGGAGAACAAUGCUUUCCCUUGCUGGGAGGAGCUUUCCACGAGCACAGCCACUGCAUGUUUCUCCUACACCAUCUUUGCAAGUAACCCCUUGCUAAGAUUUCAAGACAAGCUUGGUGAAUAGGAGGACAGCGUUCCUAGCAGACCAUGACAUAUUGUACUGACAAAUACUGAUUUCCUGUGCCUCAAACACUCACAUUUGUGCCUAUUGUUAUAAAUUCUUUGUGGCAGGAACAGUCACGUUCUGGUACCCCUGUGCAGCCCGUAUUCCAGAAGUAUAGCUGCUCAGAGAGAUCCUGUCCAGUGAGCUACUUACAGCAGGGACCUGCAGACAUACCAGCAGCAUAGCCUAACACCACUUAAUAAAUUGCUUUAACUACUCUGGCAGGAAAUGUCAUUUACAUGUGUCACCAGUCAGCAGUCUCCUACCA